RNAcentral lists this ribosomal RNA (239 nucleotides) under Wilcoxina rehmii. Its description in RNAcentral is "partial large subunit ribosomal RNA". It matches the Rfam family "Eukaryotic large subunit ribosomal RNA", at positions 104 to 339 of the family's 3401-position model. The record is from RNAcentral. Lineage: Eukaryota; Fungi; Ascomycota; Pezizomycetes; Pezizales; Pyronemataceae.
AAAGCUCAAAUUUGAAAUCUGGCGUCUCUGACGUCCGAAUUGUAAUUUGGAGAGGCAACUUCGGUGAUGGCGCCGUCCUAAGUUCCUUGGAACAGGAUGACACAGAGGGUGAGAUCCCCGUACCUGGGUGGCUGUCCAUCGCCAUGUGAAGUGUCUUCGACGAGUCGAGUUGUUUGGGAAUGCAGCUCAAAAUGGGUGGUAAAUUUCAUCUAAAGCUAAAUAUUGGCGAGAGACCGAUA